RNAcentral lists this ribosomal RNA (467 nucleotides) under uncultured bacterium. Its description in RNAcentral is "partial 16S ribosomal RNA". It matches the Rfam family "Bacterial small subunit ribosomal RNA", at positions 29 to 507 of the family's 1533-position model. The record is from RNAcentral.
ACGAACGCUGGCGGCGUGCUUAACACAUGCAAGUCGAACGGAAAGGCCCUGCUUUUGUGGGGUGCUCGAGUGGCGAACGGGUGAGUAACACGUGAGUAACCUGCCCUUGACUUUGGGGUAACUUCAGGAAACUGGGGCUAAUACCGGAUAGGAGCUCCUGCUGCAUGGUGGGGGUUGGAAAGUUUCGGCGGUUGGGGGUGGACUCGCGGCUUAUCAGCUUGUUGGUGGGGUAGUGGCUUACCAAGGCUUUGACGGGUAGCCGGCCUGAGAGGGUGACCGGCCACAUUGGGACUGAGAUACGGCCCAGACUCCUACGGGAGGCAGCAGUGGGGAAUAUUGCACAAUGGGCGGAAGCCUGAUGCAGCAACGCCGCGUGCGGGAUGACGGCCUUCGGGUUGUAAACCGCUUUCGCCUGUGACGAAGCGUGAGUGACGGUAAUGGGUAAAGAAGCACCGGCUAACUACGUG